This 29-nucleotide non-coding RNA is filed under the name Mus musculus (house mouse). The record is from RNAcentral. Lineage: Eukaryota; Metazoa; Chordata; Mammalia; Rodentia; Muridae.
UGACUCCUUCCGAUCUCUGAUCUCUCUGU